CGGGAACCAGCCAGGGCCUGUGCUAGCUUCACCGGGCCCACAGGGGAACCCGGUGCGAAGCCGGGACUGACGCGCAGCGGUGUGGACCGCCCCUCGGGGCGUUCCGAGUCCGAAUGCCUGCGGGCACACCACCCGGCAG
Molecule: non-coding RNA, 139 nt
Filed under: Actinokineospora bangkokensis
Lineage: Bacteria; Bacillati; Actinomycetota; Actinomycetes; Pseudonocardiales; Pseudonocardiaceae
Source: RNAcentral